This 460-nucleotide ribosomal RNA is filed under the name uncultured bacterium. RNAcentral's name for it is "partial 16S ribosomal RNA". It matches the Rfam family "Bacterial small subunit ribosomal RNA", at positions 338 to 795 of the family's 1533-position model. The record is from RNAcentral.
CCUACGGGAGGCAGCAGUGAGGAAUAUUGGUCAAUGGCCGUAAGGCUGAACCAGCCAAGUCGCGUGAAGGAAGCAGGAUCUAUGGUUUGUAAACUUCUUUUAUAGGGGAAUAAAGGUAUCCACGUGUGGAUAUUUGCAUUUACCCUAUGAAUAAGCAUCGGCUAACUCCGUGCCAGCAGCCCCGGUAAUACGGAGGAUGCGAGCGUUAUCCGGAUUUAUUGGGUUUAAAGGGUGCGUAGGUUGUUUUUUAAGUCAGCGGGGAAAGUUUGUGGCUCAACCAUAAAAUUGCCGUGGAAACUGGAAGACUUGAGUGUGUUUGAGGUAGGCGGAAUGCGUGGUGUAGCGGUGAAAUGCAUAGAUAUCACGCAGAACUCCGAUUGCGAAGGCAGCUUACUAAGCCAUAACUGACACUGAAGCACGAAAGCGUGGGGAUCAAACAGGAUUAGAUACCCUAGUAGUC